UUUAUUAUUGUUGUACGUAGCUUUGUGUUGUUGUAAAUCAUGGUGUCGAUUGGUUUCCUCACCGCCACCGCUUCAAUCGACCUGUAAAACCUAAAAAAGAGAGAUUCACAUCCAGUUGAUCAACACCGACGUUCCUUCCCGGUCUUAACAUCACCACUACCAUCCAUCGCGUCAGUCCGUCACCUCCACCAUUCCCCUCUCCUCUCUAUCUCUUCCCUCUGUGAAACUACGACCACCAUCUUUGCCAUCUCCGAUAGCCGCUGUAAACAACCCAGCCCUGAAGUACCGAAAUUGUAAAAUCGGUUAUUGUUAGCGGUGAUUUAAAGUCGACGCCAUCGAUUUCGCUUGCGGAUACGUUGUACAAUCUGCAGUUUUGUUGAUGUUUUCCUGUCAUUGGGUAGCUUAGGCGGUGGAAGACAUAUAAGCCCAUCGAGACAUGCUUCAUAGUCCUCCUUCAUACGAAAACCCUACACCAUCAUUCUUUUCCACACACAGAGGCCUGGAUAGAGAGAGAUUGGAGAAAGAGAGUGGCAGCUACCGUUUCACCUACGACCUGGGCGAUGGUGGUGUUAUCACAGGGCAGCGACGUCUGCGAGUUGAAGGGGGUUUACGGUGGGGCUUUUUGUGGCUAAUCUCGAAGGUUACGGGAUUGAGAACGGGUCAGGAAAUGGGUCAUCAGUAGCUAACGGAUCAUGGUCAUAGAACUGGUCUAGGAUUGACCAAGUUUCAAGGAACUGAAUGUGUGGUUGGCCCGAGUAAACAAAAGAGUGUGCAAUUUAGUGUGAGAAAACCAUAAGGUGUUUACGAGAGAGCUCAAAGAAUUGAAGAUGCCGAGUGUGGGAUACGAACAAAAUCCAUUGAGUUUGUAUUAUUACCAUGAUGUAGAAGGAUCCAACAGAUAAGCACUAAGGUUACAGAAUGUUGUGGGGAGAACGAGUACAAUUCCUUUUCAACCCGAACUCAUAUGCAGUUGCUAAACCGCUUCUUAUUAGCCAUUUCAUGGGAGGAGCCGAACUACUUUGCAUAUUUCAAAGUACGAUGGUUGUCCUCUCCUAAGAUGUUGGGCUGGUAUUGCUAUUGGUUUUGUGUUGAUAGUGAAGGUGAAAGAGUCCGGCAAUGGUGGGAUAAAGAAAGAAGGUGAAGCUCAAAAUGGUUUUUGGUGCUUGAAUCCAGCAGAUUAAAGACGUCGAUUUGGUUCGCGGAUUAAAGACGUUGAUUUGGCCCACAGGUAAAUCGAAACUGAUGUUUUUAUCACUUCGUCUAUCUUCGUCUGAUGAAACAAAAGGUAAUCAGAACCAUGCUGAUUUGAUCGAUUUCGUGUUGUCUUGGAUACUUUCCUAUAUAUUUCCCAUUGCUUUUGCUAUCAGUUCGUCUUAGAUUUAUAUCAUAAAAGUUAUAUAAAAUUGUGUAAUGAACACUGAAGAUUUGAUUGAUUUUCAUGUGCAGAAUACCUCUCUACCUUAUGUUAGCAUGCACAUAUACAGUUCAUAACUUGUAAUUGUUGGGUAGUAUGGUUUUGUUUAUUAUAUAUUUUUUUCCUUUUUUUGCUUCCCCUCGGCUGCGGGUGCUAUAUGUUGACCCGGCCGCAACGCGCCGGGUGCUACUACUAGUUCCUAUAAAUCUAUAAUUGCCAUUUGCCUUGCCGACUGCCGUAACAUAAACAACAGCAACUUUAUCAAAACUCAAAAGAGGACCUUAUCAAAAAUCUACGGCGAGAUGAAAGGUCGGUUGGUCGCUGCAAGCCUGCAACAGAGGACCUUAUCGAAGCCUGGUCUGAGUAAUUCUUGGUCGCUGCAAGCCUGCAACAGAGAGGGGAGGGCGGGAAAGAUGAAAGAAUUUUCCAAGAGGUGCGGUCGAAAUUUUCUAAGGGGUGCGGUCGGGAUUUUUCGCGAAAAAUAACACUAAUUUUUUUUUUCAAGGGGUGUGGCCGCCCACCCACGGGCUAAAGUAGGUCCCCGCCCAUGGCUUUAGACAGAGCUCGAAACAAGCUGAGUCAAGGAUGCUUCUUGAUCCUGAGUUAGUUAUAGAAGAUAUUAGUUAAGAUCAUGCUCGCAAAACAGGUAGGGAAGAAUGACGAUGCCACUUAGUCCGAUAGCACAUGCACAAAAGAGGCCAUUUGGCAGUGAUAUACAGAUUGUUAAGUCAGCAUUGUAUGCAUUGUCUCGUAGUGGCGGUAGCAGCAUCACUCAUGGCAUUUGACGGUGCAUUCUACCAUGCUCCUCGCAGAAGUUAGAUGCGGCUGCAAAGCAGGCAAUUGCAAUCCAGAGAAGACCUUGCUUCUUCACUUUCUAACCCGACCCACAAUUAAUUUGGUUUUAUUAUUUGACAAUAAAGAUUCCUAUACAUAAAGGAGUGUUAAGGUGGUGUGAUCGGCUAGGGUGCAAAAACAUUUUCUACACUUGGAGAUGGUGGAAAUUGAGUGUCAAAAAUGGGCAAGUAAAGGUAUAAACAUACACUACCAGGUUAGGGACAAUCGAAAGGGAUAUAAAGCCGGAGCACUCAAAGAAGGUCUAAAGCAUCCCUAUGCUAAUGAAUGUCAAAUCAUUUUUAAUGCGAUCUCUUGCUCUCUCGGUUGACCUUCAUUGUUCAUCAUGUUACAUUUUUUAUGGGCAAACUGCAUAGAUAGGUAAUCAGGCCAAUGAACUUUAUCAAUUGGCGCCUGUAGCUUUCUGCUUGAUAGUCGCAUUGGUGAAGUUAUGAGCGACACAGGUCAAACAAGAUAUGUGAUUCAAGAUACGGGUCAUGAUAGCGACGACGAUAUAAGCCAACUGCCGGAUUGUAUUCUUCAUCGUAUUCUCUCAUUUAUUCCCACCAAAGACGUUGUGAAAACUGCCAUACUUUUAAAAAAAUGGAACAUCGUUUGGACUUCUGUUUCAAACCUAGAUUUCGACGACGCAUUGUUGUAGCAUAACGAGGCAGACACUCGGGACCUACCUGACGAAACUUGCUUCAUAAACUUCAUAGAACGCGUUCUCUCGUUACGUGAUGCAUCAAACAUCAAGAACGAGUUUAUCAUGUCGCGUUUUCUUUAACACCUCGUGCAUACAUUCGUGGAUUUCUUCUGCUAUCAUGCACAAUGUCCAGACACUCGAUCUCUGUCUCUUUGCCGAUGAUUCGUUUGUGCACCCGAGCUCCGUGUUUUGUAGUCAAACGUUGACCAGUUUGAAACUACAAAUGAAUUGUGUUCUUGAAUUCCCGACUGUCAUCUAUCUCCCAUAUUUGAAAACCUUGCAUUUAUCUCUCGCUACAUUCGUGAACGACGGCUCAACACAACCGUGGACCAGAAAUUGAAAGUCAAAGUGCGAUUUCUUGAGAUCUUUCAAGAUGAAAAUUGCCCUGUUGAAUUUGGGUAUAAGUCUAAGGUAGUUCUGUUAUUUUAGGAAAAUUGAAAGAGUUGAAGUAUGUCUUUUUGGGAUGUAUGUUCAAAAACUUGGAGCAGAGUAUGAGCAGCCAAAUCAUUUUCGUACAUUGGGCAUCUUUGAAAUCCUGGGACAACUCGUUAGAUCUUGUUAAUGUUCUUAACCAUGAGAUUAAGGACAAGCAUUUAAAAGCUUUAGAGGCAAAAGGGUGCUCAAGGUAUAUAAUGUUUUUUUGGGGCUAAAUUGCACUUUUCGUCCUUUAUGUUUUAGAGUUUCUGCAGGCGCUGUCCUUUAAGUUUAAAAAUUACACUCUAUGUCCUUUAUGUUUGCAACCUAUAACGGGCGGUGUCCUUUCUCAUAAACUCAGUUAAUUUUUUUUUUGUUAAAACCCCUCUUUGUAAAACUCUAUAACAACAGGGACCAUAUGUGUCAAGGGACCUGUUGUGUAAAACCCCUCUUUGUAAAACUUUAAUAAAUCAAGGGACCUGUUGUGUAAAUUCCGAAAAUUUUGAAUAUGUAUCUUGUUCGCCAA
Helianthus annuus (common sunflower) is the source of this 3891-nucleotide long non-coding RNA. RefSeq lists it as uncharacterized. The record is from RefSeq and is a predicted model, not a curated record. NCBI's taxonomy places the organism in Eukaryota, Viridiplantae, Streptophyta, Magnoliopsida, Asterales, Asteraceae. The transcript is spliced from 16 exons.